RNAcentral lists this ribosomal RNA (405 nucleotides) under Vibrio cholerae. RNAcentral's name for it is "bacterial SSU rRNA". It matches the Rfam family "Bacterial small subunit ribosomal RNA", at positions 1 to 401 of the family's 1533-position model. Lineage: Bacteria; Pseudomonadati; Pseudomonadota; Gammaproteobacteria; Vibrionales; Vibrionaceae. The record is from RNAcentral.
UUAAUUGAAGAGUUUGAUCAUGGCUCAGAUUGAACGCUGGCGGCAGGCCUAACACAUGCAAGUCGAGCGGCAGCACAGAGGAACUUGUUCCUUGGGUGGCGAGCGGCGGACGGGUGAGUAAUGCCUGGGAAAUUGCCCGGUAGAGGGGGAUAACCAUUGGAAACGAUGGCUAAUACCGCAUAACCUCGCAAGAGCAAAGCAGGGGACCUUCGGGCCUUGCGCUACCGGAUAUGCCCAGGUGGGAUUAGCUAGUUGGUGAGGUAAGGGCUCACCAAGGCGACGAUCCCUAGCUGGUCUGAGAGGAUGAUCAGCCACACUGGAACUGAGACACGGUCCAGACUCCUACGGGAGGCAGCAGUGGGGAAUAUUGCACAAUGGGCGCAAGCCUGAUGCAGCCAUGCCGCG